Molecule: transfer RNA, 88 nt
Filed under: Candidatus Cloacimonadota bacterium
Lineage: Bacteria; Pseudomonadati; Candidatus Cloacimonadota
Description: tRNA-Pro
Rfam family: tRNA
About the family: Transfer RNA (tRNA) molecules are approximately 80 nucleotides in length. Their secondary structure includes four short double-helical elements and three loops (D, anti-codon, and T loops). Further hydrogen bonds mediate the characteristic L-shaped molecular structure. tRNAs have two regions of fundamental functional importance: the anti-codon, which is responsible for specific mRNA codon recognition, and the 3' end, to which the tRNAs corresponding amino acid is attached (by aminoacyl-tRNA synthetases). tRNAs cope with the degeneracy of the genetic code in two manners: having more than one tRNA (with a specific anti-codon) for a particular amino acid; and 'wobble' base-pairing, i.e. permitting non-standard base-pairing at the 3rd anti-codon position.
Source: RNAcentral
GCCGGAGUGGCCCAGCACGGUAAGGCGCGCAGCUCGGUACUGCGUGACCAUUUUUGUGGUCUCUAGGGUUCAAAUCCCUACUCCGGCG